This is a long non-coding RNA of Patiria miniata (bat star), 2488 nucleotides long. RefSeq lists it as uncharacterized. NCBI's taxonomy places the organism in Eukaryota, Metazoa, Echinodermata, Asteroidea, Valvatida, Asterinidae. The record is from RefSeq and is a predicted model, not a curated record. The transcript has 3 exons.
AGGUGGGGGUCAGCGAAUUAAGUUCAAAUCUUGGCCAUUUGAUCCCCACCUGAGACGAUACCACUAGGUGGAGUAGCUCGAUAAAUAAUCACACGGUGGCCGAGUACGGGGCCCUAACAAUUUUGAGCAAAAAGGGUGACUUCCGGGGAGUAAAUUUGUGUUGUUUUUGGUGUAAAGUUAUAGCCUCGUUUAUACCCUUAAACUAAAUCGUUUACGGUCGAACUACAUAUCAAAAGAAAGGGUUUAAUCUCCUCUAAACGAUGAAAUAUAAAUCUUUGAUAUGCAAGCAUUCACUGCGGAGAUAUAGGCGUAAAAAAAACACGUAUCAGCUCUAUUACGAAAUGAGGUCCUUUACGCGGUUAACCAUAAGUUAAUUAAUGCAGGGCUGAGAGUCAACAAACUUGGAGGAAAUAUAGUUCAGAUAUCCGACUACAAUAAUAAAAAAUAAAAAAACUGUCAGCUCUUCUUCUUUUUGUUUGCUCACGGUCAACAAAGUUGAAAAAUUCCUAAUUUUCAAGACCAAACCUACAUAGCCCCUAGACAGUUCCGAGUGCAAUUGGUUGACAUUUUGCAGGAAUUGUUGUAAGGGCGUAACAAAAUCUACAUUUUGCAGACUUCACCUAUUGGGUGGGUGGGUGAGUGGGCUACCUUUGGUGGUGCGCACUGAUCCGGUAGGAGGGGAACGUUCUGUUGCCACCCACCCAGUUAGCGCGCGGUAUCGAAAGAGGGCGCCCUCAUAUUACAUUACCGUCAUAAUGGCAGCCAUGGACAUGCCGUCUGUGCGGCUGCAAUGUGAUUUUAGUAAUUUAGUGUUGCAAAGCCAUCGAAUGUGGUGUAAAUCCCUCUUAUCUGCGCGAACUAAAUACAGUGCAACUUAAUCGAUGCACAAAAGACAUACGGAGCCAUUUGUAGAAGUGGAAAGUCGCUGCAUAUGAUGUGAAUGCCGAGUGGAAACUGAUCCUCCUGCGCCUGCGAUGUGGUUUGUUCGACGUCGAUGCAUACACUGAUCAUGAUAAGACAAUACGUUCAGCGCAUAGAUACAAGUUAGGGUUGAGUUGGACAUCAUCAAGGAAAUGUUGUCAUCCACUCCAUAAAGGGAAAGGCUAACCAUUCCGUGGUGUGAAUAAAGCAACUAGCCGUGAGAUCAUAGAUGUUUGAUCGAUGGGGUACCCUGAUCACUGUUGUGUUGGAACAGGUAUCUGUAGAGGUUGUCUAUCUUAGCACAAACAAGCAGUUACGCACCAGACAGCGGAACAAUUACCAUCUAGUGAUGUGCUCUCUAAGGAACAAGAAGAGCAUCAGUGUACAAUCAGUGAUUUCACAUCGCCGGUAGGUGUACCAUCUCUCCAACCCACCGACACAGAGUGCACUUCAGUUCAUGAGCAUACAUCUGAGUCCUCAUCAACUGAUGGAGAUAUUACACAGGAUGUAGGUACACUUGACUCUUCUUGGGCAACAACCCCCGACCAAAGAAUGUGCAGCUGCAAUCCCUGAACACUUUCCUUACUCAGGGGGGAAUGUCUGCUGUUGAUGGGCAGCUUCGUCUGUCAUUAGAAGAAGCAUCUGAUAGCACCAUCCAUUAUUAUAGAAGGAAGGCAAAGGAAGCCUUUGGUUUAGUUCUUCAUUGUUUAGCACCAGGUCAAGAAGAUGGGCUCAUGAAGAUUACAAUCGGUGAAACAACUGCUGAAUCAUCACAAAGUGGUCAAAAUUUUGAUAGUAGUGCCCGUCUUCCUUUUUUUUUUAAUAGAGAACUAGAGAUUCGAGACCUCAGAAUUUGCUCUUUAUAAGCAGCAGUAGGACAUCUUUGUAAAAGUGUUCUUUAUAACAAAAGUCGACUGUAGUACUACCAUUUUACUUAUUUGGUGGGGUGGAUAACAGGUUUAAGGUUUGGAUAAAAAUUAAUUGGAUCCUUUUUGAUUAUUGUUUUUUUUGAAAGGUUUUCCUCAAAUUUUGGUUGGUAAAAUAAAUCAUUCUUUUUUGGUCUUUCUAAAAAUUUGUUUGUCAUUGUUUCUAUUUAUUCAAAUUCCUCUCUACUUGUUCCUACCCCAUCUAGGUCUAUCUCAUUUUUGACAGCGAGUACCCCAACAUUUAGCGUUUUUCUCAUUCAAUUUAUUAUUUUCCAAGUUUAUUAAUUUUCCGGGUUACAUUAACAUGCCAAAAAAUAACAGAAUUGUCAUCCAAGCCUCAUCAUUCCCACAUUUGGUGCGCGAUAUGUGGCAGUGUGUAACCCCCCUCCCCCAUUUUAAAUGAUUAUUGGGGGAUACUUCUGUUAACAAAAAGACAAGUGUGUGUUGAGUAUAGGGACAUUUGUGGGGACUCCCUCUGCCACAAAUCGGGCAGGGUAUACAUUCCAUCCUGGACUCUGAAAGGUGGCGGCCAUAUUGAUUUAAAGUGAACCCCCCUACCCUAAAAAUGGGAUAAAUUAAGGAAUUAUAGCACCCCUUAUGGCGUCUCCAGUAUUAAAAUAGGUUUUAAUUUUAUUGAUCAU